This 1450-nucleotide ribosomal RNA is filed under the name uncultured organism. RNAcentral describes it as "SSU rRNA". It matches the Rfam family "Bacterial small subunit ribosomal RNA". The record is from RNAcentral.
UAGCUACAGGCUUAACACAUGCAAGUCGAGGGGCAGCAUUUUAGUUUGCUUGCAAACUGAAGAUGGCGACCGGCGCACGGGUGAGUAACACGUAUCCAACCUGCCGAUAACUCCGGAAUAGCCUUUCGAAAGAAAGAUUAAUACCGGAUAGCAUACGAAUAUCGCAUGAUAUUUUUAUUAAAGAAUUUCGGUUAUCGAUGGGGAUGCGUUCCAUUAGUUUGUUGGCGGGGUAACGGCCCACCAAGACUACGAUGGAUAGGGGUUCUGAGAGGAAGGUCCCCCACAUUGGAACUGAGACACGGUCCAAACUCCUACGGGAGGCAGCAGUGAGGAAUAUUGGUCAAUGGGCGAGAGCCUGAACCAGCCAAGUAGCGUGAAGGAUGAAGGCUCUAUGGGUCGUAAACUUCUUUUAUAUGGGAAUAAGGUUUUCCACGUGUGGAAUUUUGUAUGUACCAUAUGAAUAAGGAUCGGCUAACUCCGUGCCAGCAGCCGCGGUAAUACGGAGGAUCCGAGCGUUAUCCGGAUUUAUUGGGUUUAAAGGGAGCGUAGGUGGAUUGUUAAGUCAGUUGUGAAAGUUUGCGGCUCAACCGUAAAAUUGCAGUUGAAACUGGCAGUCUUGAGUACAGUAGAGGUGGGCGGAAUUCGUGGUGUAGCGGUGAAAUGCUUAGAUAUCACGAAGAACUCCGAUUGCGAAGGCAGCUCACUAGACUGUCACUGACACUGAUGCUCGAAAGUGUGGGUAUCAAACAGGAUUAGAUACCCUGGUAGUCCACACAGUAAACGAUGAAUACUCGCUGUUUGCGAUAUACAGUAAGCGGCCAAGCGAAAGCAUUAAGUAUUCCACCUGGGGAGUACGCCGGCAAAGGUGAAACUCAAAGGAAUUGACGGGGGCCCGCACAAGCGGAGGAACAUGUGGUUUAAUUCGAUGAUACGCGAGGAACCUUACCCGGGCUUAAAUUGCAACAGAAUAUAUUGGAAACAGUAUAGCCGUAAGGCUGUUGUGAAGGUGCUGCAUGGUUGUCGUCAGCUCGUGCCGUGAGGUGUCGGCUUAAGUGCCAUAACGAGCGCAACCCUUAUCUUUAGUUACUAACAGGUCAUGCUGAGGACUCUAGAGAGACUGCCGUCGUAAGAUGUGAGGAAGGUGGGGAUGACGUCAAAUCAGCACGGCCCUUACGUCCGGGGCUACACACGUGUUACAAUGGGGGGUACAGAAGGCGGCUACCUGGUGACAGGAUGCUAAUCCCAAAAACCUCUCUCAGUUCGGAUCGAAGUCUGCAACCCGACUUCGUGAAGCUGGAUUCGCUAGUAAUCGCGCAUCAGCCAUGGCGCGGUGAAUACGUUCCCGGGCCUUGUACACACCGCCCGUCAAGCCAUGAAAGCCGGGGGUACCUGAAGUACGUAACCGCAAGGAGCGUCCUAGGGUAAAACUGGUAAUUGGGGCUAAGUCAUA